GCGGACAGAUGGGAGCUUGCUCCCUGAUGUUAGCGGCGGACGGGUGAGUAACACGUGGGUAACCUGCCUGUAAGACUGGGAUAACUCCGGGAAACCGGGGCUAAUACCGGAUGCUUGUUUGAACCGCAUGGUUCAAACAUAAAAGGUGGCUUCGGCUACCACUUACAGAUGGACCCGCGGCGCAUUAGCUAGUUGGUGAGGUAAUGGCUCACCAAGGCAACGAUGCGUAGCCGACCUGAGAGGGUGAUCGGCCACACUGGGACUGAGACACGGCCCAGACUCCUACGGGAGGCAGCAGUAGGGAAUCUUCCGCAAUGGACGAAAGUCUGACGGAGCAACGCCGCGUGAGUGAUGAAGGUUUUCGGAUCGUAAAGCUCUGUUGUUAGGGAAGAACAAGUACCGUUCGAAUAGGGCGGUACCUUGACGGUACCUAACCAGAAAGCCACGGCUAACUACGUGCCAGCAGCCGCGGUAAUACGUAGGUGGCAAGCGUUGUCCGGAAUUAUUGGGCGUAAAGGGCUCGCAGGCGGUUUCUUAAGUCUGAUGUGAAAGCCCCCGGCUCAACCGGGGAGGGUCAUUGGAAACUGGGGAACUUGAGUGCAGAAGAG
This 608-nucleotide ribosomal RNA is filed under the name Bacillus spizizenii. RNAcentral describes it as "bacterial SSU rRNA". It matches the Rfam family "Bacterial small subunit ribosomal RNA", at positions 66 to 656 of the family's 1533-position model. Lineage: Bacteria; Bacillati; Bacillota; Bacilli; Caryophanales; Bacillaceae. The record is from RNAcentral.